RNAcentral lists this ribosomal RNA (722 nucleotides) under Bacillus sp. FJAT-17396. Its description in RNAcentral is "bacterial SSU rRNA". It matches the Rfam family "Bacterial small subunit ribosomal RNA", at positions 94 to 801 of the family's 1533-position model. The record is from RNAcentral. Lineage: Bacteria; Bacillati; Bacillota; Bacilli; Caryophanales; Bacillaceae.
AGCGGCGGACGGGUGAGUAACACGUAGGCAACCUGCCCAUAAGACUGGGAUAACAUAGGGAAACUUAUGCUAAUACCGGAUAGAGUCUUCUCCCGCAUGAGAGAAGACGGAAAGGUGGCGCAAGCUACCACUUGUGGAUGGGCCUGCGGCGCAUUAGCUAGUUGGUGGGGUAACGGCCUACCAAGGCGACGAUGCGUAGCCGACCUGAGAGGGUGACCGGCCACACUGGGACUGAGACACGGCCCAGACUCCUACGGGAGGCAGCAGUAGGGAAUUUUCCACAAUGGACGAAAGUCUGAUGGAGCAACGCCGCGUGAACGAUGAAGGCCUUCGGGUUGUAAAGUUCUGUUGUCAGGGACGAACAAGUACCGUUCGAAUAGGGCGGUACCUUGACGGUACCUGACGAGAAAGCCACGGCUAACUACGUGCCAGCAGCCGCGGUAAUACGUAGGUGGCAAGCGUUGUCCGGAUUUAUUGGGCGUAAAGCGCGCGCAGGCGGCUAUGUAAGUCUGGUGUUAAAGCCCGGGGCUCAACCCCGGUUCGCAUCGGAAACUGUGUAGCUUGAGUGCAGAAGAGGAAAGCGGUAUUCCACGUGUAGCGGUGAAAUGCGUAGAGAUGUGGAGGAACACCAGUGGCGAAGGCGGCUUUCUGGUCUGUAACUGACGCUGAGGCGCGAAAGCGUGGGGGAGCAAACAGGAUUAGAUACCCUGGUAGUCCACGCC